RNAcentral lists this ribosomal RNA (497 nucleotides) under uncultured bacterium. RNAcentral's name for it is "partial 16S ribosomal RNA". It matches the Rfam family "Bacterial small subunit ribosomal RNA", at positions 28 to 507 of the family's 1533-position model. The record is from RNAcentral.
GAUGAACGCUGGCGGCGUGCCUAAUACAUGCAAGUCGAGCGAACAGACGAGGAGCUUGCUCCUCUGACGUUAGCGGCGGACGGGUGAGUAACACGUGGAUAACCUACCUAUAAGACUGGGAUAACUUCGGGAAACCGGAGCUAAUACCGGAUAAUAUAUUGAACCGCAUGGUUCAAUAGUGAAAGACGGUUUUGCUGUCACUUAUAGAUGGAUCCGCGCCGCAUUAGCUAGUUGGUAAGGUAACGGCUUACCAAGGCGACGAUGCGUAGCCGACCUGAGAGGGUGAUCGGCCAAACUGGAACUGAGACACGGUCCAGACUCCUACGGGAGGAAGCAGUAGGGAAUCUUCCGCAAUGGGCGAAAGCCUGACGGAGCAACGCCGCGUGAGUGAUGAAGGUCUUCGGAUCGUAAAACUCUGUUAUUAGGGAAGAACAAAUGUGUAAGUAACUAUGCACGUCUUGACGGUACCUAAUCAGAAAGCCACGGCUAACUACGUG